Mya arenaria is the source of this 360-nucleotide long non-coding RNA. RefSeq lists it as uncharacterized. The record is from RefSeq and is a predicted model, not a curated record. The transcript has 2 exons. Lineage: Eukaryota; Metazoa; Mollusca; Bivalvia; Myida; Myidae.
AUUAAAAUGGCGUACAGCAUGUUGUGAAAAUAUGCAGAGUAGAAAAAUGUGGGUUUCAUGACACUUGGACGCAUGCAUGCAGUAUUGUUGUGUUUAAUCUGCAUAAUAAUUAACAUUUAUUAUUAUUGCAUGCGUUUUCAGUAAUAUGCGAUGAAUGGUUCUUCAGACAAUUGUAAUAACCAAUCAGAUUCAAGAGAGGAGUCAGGUGAUUUGGGAAGCCAAUCAGCUGCUGCUUCAGGGUCAGUAAGCCAAACAGCUACAAAAGAGGCGGAGUCUAAGAUCACAAAGGCAGAACCAAGUGACCUAUCAAUUAGCCAGAAUCCACAAAAUUUAAAUUGGAACUUUGAUGACAGUAUGGAG